Molecule: ribosomal RNA, 253 nt
Filed under: uncultured bacterium
Lineage: Bacteria
Description: partial 16S ribosomal RNA
Rfam family: Bacterial small subunit ribosomal RNA
Source: RNAcentral
UACGUAGGGGGCAAGCGUUGUCCGGAAUCAUUGGGCGUAAAGAGCGUGUAGGCGGCCAGGUAGGUCUGCUGUGAAAACUCGAGGCUUAACCUCGAGAUGUCGGCGGAAACCAUCUGGCUAGAGUCCGGAAGAGGAGAGUGGAAUUCCUGGUGUAGCGGUGAAAUGCGCAGAUAUCAGGAAGAACACCCGUGGCGAAGGCGGCUCUCUGGGACGGUACUGACGCUGAGACGCGAAAGCGUGGGGAGCAAACAGG